Molecule: unclassified non-coding RNA, 161 nt
Filed under: uncultured Cistella
Lineage: Eukaryota; Fungi; Ascomycota; Leotiomycetes; Helotiales; Hyaloscyphaceae
Description: sequence contains ITS1
Source: RNAcentral
CAGAGAACAUCGCCCUCACGGGUGACUCUCCAACCCUAUGUUAUUAAAACCUUUGUUGCUUUGGCGAGCCGCUUCGGCCACCGGCGUCAGCUGGUGUGCGCUCGCCAGAGGACCACAAAACUCUUGUAUAAUUAGUUUGUCUGAGUACUAUAUAAUAGUUA